AAGGUCGAAACUAUUAUGAAAAGAAUGGUUACAAAGAUAGGGAUCAAGGAAACUGGAAGAGUAAAAAUGAUAGGAGUGGACUAUAUGUACCUCCUAAAAGUAGAGAUAAUACUGCAACUAGCUCUAGCAACAUAUCCAUAGAGGACAUGAUGGAGAAAUUAUUAAAGGGAGUUGAGACUAGCAACUCUAGGGUGACUACUAUGAAGAGUGAUUUAUCUUUCAUG
This 224-nucleotide long non-coding RNA is filed under the name Capsicum annuum. Its description in RNAcentral is "long non-coding RNA (CANN_LNC019214)". The record is from RNAcentral. Lineage: Eukaryota; Viridiplantae; Streptophyta; Magnoliopsida; Solanales; Solanaceae.